CGGGCGUUAAGUUGCAGGGUAUAGACCCGAAACCCGGUGAUCUAGCCAUGGGCAGGUUGAAGGUUGGGUAACACUAACUGGAGGACCGAACCGACUAAUGUUGAAAAAUUAGCGGAUGACCUGUGGCUGGGGGUGAAAGGCCAAUCAAACCGGGAGAUAGCUGGUUCUCCCCGAAAGCUAUUUAGGUAGCGCCUCGUGAAUUCAUCUCCGGGGGUAGAGCACUGUUUCGGCUAGGGGGCCAUCCCGGCUUACCAACCCGAUGCAAACUGCGAAUACCGGAGAAUGUUAUCACGGGAGACACACGGCGGGUGCUAACGUCCGUCGUGAAGAGGGAAACAACCCAGACCGCCAGCUAAGGUCCCAAAGUCAUGGUUAAGUGGGAAACGAUGUGGGAAGGCCCAGACAGCCAGGAUGUUGGCUUAGAAGCAGCCAUCAUUUAAAGAAAGCGUAAUAGCUCACUGGUCGAGUCGGCCUGCGCGGAAGAUGUAACGGGGCUAAACCAUGCACCGAAGCUGCGGCAGCGACACUGUGU
This 532-nucleotide ribosomal RNA is filed under the name Salmonella enterica subsp. enterica serovar Enteritidis. Its description in RNAcentral is "partial 23S ribosomal RNA". It matches the Rfam family "Bacterial large subunit ribosomal RNA", at positions 689 to 1219 of the family's 2925-position model. The record is from RNAcentral. Lineage: Bacteria; Pseudomonadati; Pseudomonadota; Gammaproteobacteria; Enterobacterales; Enterobacteriaceae.